RNAcentral lists this long non-coding RNA (1865 nucleotides) under Anthonomus grandis grandis. RNAcentral's name for it is "uncharacterized LOC126738799". The record is from RNAcentral. Lineage: Eukaryota; Metazoa; Arthropoda; Insecta; Coleoptera; Curculionidae.
UAUAGAAUUCGUUUGAGCUAGAGAAAAAUUUAAAGAUAUACCUCAAGUGAUAUCUAAUUCGUCUGCUGCGGUCGAAUUAGCUGAAUCGUGUACUGAAUUGCAGCAGACAGUGGAAUCAAACCCCUUAGCCUCAACGAAGCACCAAGAUCUAGCUAGUUCUAUUGAGAUACAAGAGACAUCUGCUAUAAAUGCUUUGGGUAAUUUGCAAGGCAGAUACAGUUCAAGUGAAAAUGAAGAUAUUGAAAGUGAACAAGAAGAUCCAUUUGCUGGAACUCAUUUAAGUUCAGAUCCUGAUUACGAUCCUACGUCCCCCUCUAGCUCCUCAGAUGAUGAUUCAGUGUCCUCUAUUACCAACGCCCAUGAUGGCAAUGACUCUUUGUAUGAGGGAAAUAGCGAGGAUGAUCAUAUAAGCGAGGCUAAUGAAUUUCUAGAAAAUUUUCAAACAGACGUAUGGAUACCAAUGGACAUGAAUAAUGCACUAAAUAUGAAGGAGUACUCUUUUCCACAAAGUAUUAAUGUAGCUUCUCAAGACUGCAGUAGUCCCUUAGCUACAUUUAAACUAUUUAUAGAUAAGGAUGUGAUCGGUUUAAUAGUAGCUGAAACAAACAGGUAUGCUUUACAACAGAUAAGUCCAACAAGCCGUAAUAAGUCUCGUCUCAAACUUUGGAUAGAUACAGAUGAGGAAGAGAUACAAAUUCUUUGAAAUUUUAAUCUGCAUGGGGUUAGUUAGAAUUCCAACCAUUACCCUUUAUUGGGCUAAACAUCCUCUGUAUCAUAAUAAAUAUAUAUCAUAAAAAAUAACCAGAGAUAGAUUCUUGCUACUCUUACAAUAUAUUCAUUUUAAUAAUAAUGACAAUUUGCCUAACUCGCAAGAUCGCCUUUUUCGCAUACGCCCUCUUCUGACUUUACUUAAUAUAAGAUUCCAACGUAUUUUAACCCCAGGAAAGGAAGUUACAUACAAUUAAUGUCAAGGUCUAUUGUGGCAAAGAGGAAAAUCAAGAAGAUUCAAGCGAUCCACAUACAGUUAUGAACCUUAUGGAUCAUUUGCUUGAUUCGGGCCGCAUCUUAUAUGGCGAUAACUUUUAUUCAGGUGUUCCCCUUGUAAAAAAACUUCACGCAAAAAAGACGUUUUAUUGUGGUACACUUAGGGCCAAUUGAAGGGGCCUACUGAAAGAAUUUAUUAAGCAUGGUAUAAAAAAAAAAAUAAAGUGAUAGGAGUACAUAAUGAUAAGGGAAUAAAAAUUAUAAAGUGGCAAGACAAAAGGCCAAUAUUAAUGAUCUCAAAUAAAAAAGACCAUAGCAUAAGCCUUCAAGACACCGGUAAGAAAAAUAGAAAAUCCAGAAAUAGAAAUAGAAAUAGAAAAUCCAGAACCACUUCUAAAGCCCAAGUGUAUUAUAGAUUAUAACAGCGCUAAAAAAGGCGUUGAUCUUAGCGACCAAAUGUCAUCAUAUUAUACCUCUUUACGUAAAGGGUUAAAGUGGUACAGAAAAACGGCUUUCGAGUUGAUUCUAUAGGAACUACUAUUGUAAAUUCCCAAGUGUUUAUUAAUAAAAUUAAUAAAGACAGCCAUCUAAAUAUGUUACAAUUUAGAGAAGCUUUAGGACAGGCGCUAGCAGAACAAGGUUCUGAACUUUUGCUGUUGAGCAGGGCCCUGGAAAAAAAAGACGACGAAAUUGUGUAGGCUGCUAUAAGAACUUGCGAGCUACAUUAUCUAGUAAAGAAGCAGAUAAAAAGGUUACCAAAGUAUCAAGUUAUUGCGCUGAUUGUGAAAAUAAACCCACAAUGUGUUUAUCUUCAAUGAAAAGCAUAGCAAUGUUUCCAAAUUAAAUUUUUUUGUGCUUAUAACCUUGUUUUUAAUAAUAUA